AGAAAGAAUACACUUUUAUGCAUAAAAUGGACAAAGAAAUUGGACAUCUCAUGUUAAGAACUUCUUAUUCUCUAUUGGCUUCGGAAACGUUUGGAAUGCACAAUAUGUAGAAUCACAUACGUAAUUCAUUCAGUCGUUAACCAUAAGACUUAAAGACAUAUAUCUUCAAACAUGGUGUGAGAAAAUAUCUUUGUCAAGUAAAUGUUUUAACUAUUCAAAAUUUA
Molecule: long non-coding RNA, 224 nt
Organism: Haliotis rubra (blacklip abalone)
Lineage: Eukaryota; Metazoa; Mollusca; Gastropoda; Lepetellida; Haliotidae
Exons: 4
Source: RefSeq, a predicted model, not a curated record